This 2779-nucleotide long non-coding RNA is filed under the name Homo sapiens (human). RNAcentral describes it as "non-protein coding lnc-PJVK-2:7". Lineage: Eukaryota; Metazoa; Chordata; Mammalia; Primates; Hominidae. The record is from RNAcentral.
GAUUUAACAGCUUUUGUUUUGGGCAGAAGAACCUAUGGGCACAAAAAGCAGGAACGAGUAGCGGUGGCUGAAGAACGAGCAGGAGCUUGAAUUUCAGUUUUCUUAUGAGGAAUUUUCCAGAAAAGAUAUCUUCACUGUGAAAUAACUAAAUAAAUGCCCACUCAGUACACUUUCCCUGCACUCCAAACACAGAGCUGAGACUUCCACCUAAUGUAGAAAGCUAGCACGAGCCGGCGCUGACAGAUGGAAGACUUGAGAUGUUACAAGAUUAUAUAUGGAAACACAAAAGGAGUGGAGUUGCUGGGUCAUAUGGCAAUUCAUUUGAGGAACUGAGAAGCUUAUUCCAUGGAGGCUGAACUGUUUUAUAUUCCCACCAGCAACGUGUAAGGUUCCAGUUUAUCUACAUCAUCACCAACACUUGCUAUUUUCCAUUUCAUUAAUGAUAGCCAUCCUAGUGGAUUUGAAGUGGUACCUUAUUAUCGUGGUUUUGAUUGCAUUCUCUAUUGACUAAUGAUAUCGAGCAUCUUUUCAUGUAUUUUUUGGUCAUUUGGUCAUUUUUCUUUUUUAAUUUUAAAAUUUUGAGACAGGCUCUCACUAUGUUGCCCAGGUGGUCUCAAACUCCUGGGUUCCAGCGAUGCUCAUGCCUCAGUCUCCCAAAGGGGUGGGAUUACAGGUGUGAGCCACUUUGCCCAGCCCAUUUGUAUAUCUCCUUUGGAGAAUAUCUAGGUUCUUUUGAAGGUAGCUGCAUAUAAACUAGCCAAAUUAACAGACUGUGGUUUUUAGAUGGCUUUCCAUAUCUACAAGAACUAUUUAGUUCUCAAAACUGGGAAGAAAUGUUUCAGAGGCAUCAUUAAUUCAUAAUCUAAAAAUUUAUCUUGGGUUUCCUUUUUUCCCCCAGAUUCUGUAUCCUCCAUAGUCCUAUUCAUGACAUGGGUCGUUCAUCUCUGUAUUCUAAACCCUCAAUGAACUGUAGACAGUAAUAAAUAUUUAUUGGAUGAAUGGUCUCUCAUCAGCCACCUUUUCUUUUUUUUUUUUUGAGACAGAGUCUCACUCUGUCACUCAGGCUGGAGUGCAGUGGCGCGAUCUCGGUUCACUGCAACCUCUGCCUCCCGGGUUCAAGUGAUUCUCCCACCUGAGCCUCCCGAGUAGCUGGGAUUACAGGUGCACGCCACCUUGUCUGGCUAAUUUUUGUAUUUUUAGUAGAGACAGGGUUUCACCGUGUUGGUCAGGCUGGUCUCAAACGCCUGACCUCAGGUGAUCUGCCCGACUUGGCCUCCCAAAGUGCUGGGAUUACAGGUGUGAGCCACCGCACCUGGCCUCCAGCCUCUUUUCUUUUUUUUUUUUGAGACAAGUCUAACUCUGUCACCCAGGCUGGAGAGCAGCGGCAUGAUCAUGGCUCACUGCUGCCUCAACCUCAGAGGCUCAAGUCAUUGUCCCCACCUCAGCCUCCCUAGUAGACUGGACUACAGGCAUGUGCCACCACACCCAGCUAAUUUUUCAUCAGCCACCUUUUCUAACCAUCUGUCUGCACUGACUUCCCAGGUUCUGCAUCAUUAUUGGUUUACUGAGACAAUGCACUUCACCCGUCCUUCAAUCCCAAAGUAGCACAGAAUAUCAGGAGUUCUUUGAGCCCCUAAGUGCCCUACUUUCCCAGGGUCAGGGGACCCUGACAAGCAAGGUCCCCACAUCUUUCUGUGGUUGGAUAGGGAUAUAAAAUUUCUCACACAUGUUAAAUCAAGAUACUUUGGCCAGGCACGGUGGCUCACACCUGUAAUCCCAGCACUUUGGGAGGCUGAGGUGUACAGAUCACUUGAGGUCAGGAGUUUGAGACAAGCCUGGUCAACAUGGUGAAACUCCCAUCUCUACUAAAAAAAAAAAAACUUUGGGAGGCCGAGGUGGGUGGAUCAUGAGGUCAGGAGUUUGAGACCAGCCUGGCCAACAUGGUGAAACCCCGUCUCUACUAAAAAUGCAAAAAUUAGGUGGGUGUGGUGGCACACAGCAGUAGUCCCAGCUACUCAGGAGGCUGAGGCAGGAGAAUUGCUUGAACCUGGGAGGCAGAGGUUACAGUGAGCUGAGAUCAUGCCACCGCACUCCAACCAGGGCAACAGAUCAAGACUCCAUCUUGGGGAAAAAAAAAAAAAUUAGCCAGGCUUGGUGGUGGAUGCCUGUAUUCCCAGCUUCUUGGGAGACUGAAGCAGGAGGAUCGCUUGAACCCAGGAGGCAGAGGUUGCAGUGAGUUGAGAUUGUGCCACUGUACUCCAGCCUGGGCAACAGAAACAAUACUCCGUCUCAAAAAAAAAAAAAAAAAAAAAAAAUCAAGACACCAAACACACACAACUAAUUAGCUCUAUAAAUUGAAUUAAAAGAAAAUCCAUACUGACUUGCUUUCCCAUCUGUCCAUAUUUGUCUAUCCAAAUGAUUAAGGGCUAGAGAAAAUACAGAUGAUGAUGGCUGAGAUGGGAUAAAACUAUAAAUUGACUUGGUUCCAUUUACCUCCCAGAAUCAGCAUACAGUGACAAAGUAGAGAGAAAAGGUCUGGGCACCACAAACUUGUACUUGUGCUAGAAAUGUAGGUGCCUUUUCAUUUGCCCAGCAGGGCUAGUUUAACAGCCAGGGUAUCUUCUGGGACUCUUCCCCAAAUCUUGCUCUACCGCUGACUAGCUAUGUGAUCUUGGGCAAGUUUCUCAACCUUUCUGUGCCUUUCUUCCUUUACUUAUAAAUAAGGAUAACAGAAUUUGCUUCAUAGAGUUAGUCUGAGGAUUCAGUAAGUAGAUACGUG